UCUAAGAAAGCGGCACUCAGAAGCUUCCUACCAGUCUAUAGACUGAGAAGGCUCUGGACAAACCAACUUCAGAAAAAAUUCCAAACCUGUUUCUGCAGUGUCGGCUGUGCUGUUUCCAGGGUCACGUGUUAAGGUGGGAUCUGCACCUAUUGGAAAGUCAUCUGAGAUCCUAUCCUUCGAGCUCCAUUUGGUCGGCACUCUGUGGACUCAGGUUGGUGCACUCUGCGGACUCAGGUUGAUUAGAUGCAUGCACUAUGACAAGACCCGUGCUGAGACAAGACCCUUGCUGGAGCAAGACACAUAGACGACAAGUGAUGAAGUGACGGAGACAGAGCUUGGCUUGCUGGUACAGCCAGCUGUGCAACCCUGUGGGUCUCAACUCUUCACUGAUCUUCCCUUCCCCGAGAGAGGCACUGUCAAGAACUUUUUCCCUGGUGCCUCUACAGGUCCCUCCUGCUGACUUGAGCCAAGGCUGGGACCUGGCUGUCUCUGCUAGAUUGUGUCACCACUGUUGAUUCCUGUUUGCUAUCCCAGCUCUAUCAAACUGGACUGCUGGUGUAUCUGUAAAUUGUGUGUGAGUGUAUCGAGCUGCAGCUGCUAACCUGUGAACUGAACUGCUGAUCUCCACACAACACAAAUGAGAGCUGCACUAGGGAACCUUCCUAAACAGGUCUACUUUCCUGUAUCCUUUCUCUUCCACUACCUCUGGUAGGUGGUAUGCUACAAGAGAGGUUAAAAUGUUUAAGAACUAUGUUUAAAAAUAAAGUUUAACAGAAAAUAAAGUUACACUCAGGAGCCUCAGCCCGCUCCUUCUAUUCA
Molecule: long non-coding RNA, 819 nt
Organism: Apodemus sylvaticus (European woodmouse)
Lineage: Eukaryota; Metazoa; Chordata; Mammalia; Rodentia; Muridae
Exons: 2
Source: RefSeq, a predicted model, not a curated record